AAAGAAAAAAAAAAAAGAAAAAAAGAAAAGAAAAAAAAAAAGAAAGUGCUGGCGGCGAUAUGUAGGAGGCGAGAUGUUUUUUUUUCAAGUAUUGGGUUGUCUUUCAUAGCCUCAUUGCUUCUACAAUCACAAGUAGGUAAGUUUUAUACAAACUUAAAUUUCUUAUUUGGCUCCAAUAAGUGAUAAAGAAGUUCAAAUUCUUGAUGGUUUAGUAUGGGUAAACCAUUUUGAAGCUUUUAAGUUAUGUGAAUCAAAUAUUUACGAAUUUUCGGGUUGGAGCUUUGUGAAAAAAAAAAAAAAAAAUCAGUAAUUAAAUUGGGUUAAAAUUGAAAUUUAAAUAAAGAAAUCAAAAGGCAGGUGAGGAUUUGAGUCAAUUAAUGAAUUGUUUUGGCACAUGUAUAUGUCUAGUGGUUGGAAGUAUUAAGAAGGGAACAUACUUAAUUGCAUAGCUUGAUGUUAUUGUGGAAGUAGUAAACUGAUGAAGAAGAGAUGAAUUGUGUUUAAUUGGAAUUCAAUUUAGCCUGAAUGUGGUAUGUUCCUGAUUUAGUAAUUUUGAUAUUACAGAGCAAAAUAAAAAGGGAUAGUAUUUAUAGUGUAAAUUCAAGAUGUUGGAAGGUAGUAUGUUAUUGUGCCAAUGUAGUGGGGAAAUGAAUGUGGAAAACAUAUUCUGUAAAUAAAUCGGUAAAUGAGACUAUGUUCUGCCAUAUGGAAAUUAAAAAGGGAAUAAAGCGAUUUAAUAAGGAAUGGAUUAAGUUGUAUAUAGAGGUUGUAUGUUUAUAAAGUAGUGAUUUAAGAAAGUACAGUAAAUUAAUGGAUUUGAUUAUGUGGGAUGACUGGUUGGUAAAUAAUCAAAGAGAAGUAAAGUUUGGAAAAUGAUAGUUUUCAUGAAAUACUCACAUGAAAGGAAGAUUUUAUGGAACAAGAUGUGUAUUAAAUGGGAGGAAUUAUGGUUAUUAGUUUUCAUUAGAUUGGAAAGUAUAAUUAUUUUAUGUUUGGGAUGAAAGUAAUUUUGAUAAAUUAAAAAUUAGUGAAGGAGUUAGUGAGUAGAAUUAUCUCCAAUUGAUUAAAGAAAAAUUGGGGAAUUCAUUCAAGUAUCGAGAAAUGGAGAUUCAAGAGAAAAUUUGAAAGUUGAGGAAUUAACUGGUGAAUUUGCUUUAGUUUAAUUGUCAUAUUUUAAUUUGAGUUGUUAUACAAUUAUUUCAGGUAGUGACGUGGAAGCUUGGAGAUGCCCGUCAAUUUAGCCAAGAUUUCUAUCCAUAAAUCAGUGAGUGGAUAAAACUUAUUUUUCAGAAAUAAGUCUUCCUUAAAUUUUAAAGUUAUUUAUUUUAUAAAGUUGACUUCAUAGCAUGAUUUUCAGAAUAAAAUCGAUUUUAUUAUCAAUUUCUUUUAAAAUUAAAUUCAGUUCAGUUAAAUUAUUUUAGUAGCAUGGUAUAUUCUUAUUACACGUUUCAAUAUAGUUAAAGCUAUUUCUAAAAACCACCAGAAAGUACCAAGGUGAUUUUAUCCCAGUUUGCACUGAUGUGAAUGUGUUUCCACAGUGUAUGACUAGUUAUGGUGAUUUUACCCGUUCUGCACUAUUGUGAAUGUGUUUCCAUAGUGUAUGACCAGAUUAUCAGAGGUCUUUGGGACCCACUCUCGUACACACAUAGGCUUUGGGCCGUGUACUAGGGUGAUUAGCCUUUGGGGCAGCUCUGCGUACGUAUGACCAGAUUAUCAGAUUAUCAUAUUUGAAUGACUUUACCUUGUACAUCGAGAUUACUCUGUACAUGAGUAAGGCUAUUCAUUGGGUACUCUUUUUGGUAUGAUUGUUCAGUAUUUAUUCAGUUCUCAGACUUCAGAUUAUGGAAUUCAGUUAAUUCAGUUUUCAGAAUAAAGCUUUCAGCUUAAAGUAUUGAGCAGCAGCAAUAUUUCAUAGAUUUUCAUGAAUAUCAGAUUCUUUAUAUUUGUUAUACCUUACAAAUACUUUUCUAGAAUUUAGAACGAAGAAUUUUAUAAUGUAAUUAUGUUUAGUUUUUAAAAGUAUUACUAGAUUCAGAAAUUCUCAAGGAUUGAAUAAAGUUAAAAUUUUUAGAAAAUAUGCAUCAAUGGAAAAAGUUUACUUAUUUGCAAAUCAUCCACUCACUGAGUUACAAUCUCAUAUUUUUAUCACCAUUUUUCUUAGCAGAUGGUAGCUACGUUGAGCGACAUUGGAGCCUGUCGAUUUGCGAGUCGAGCCACAUGGUGUAUUUAUUGUAUGUCUAGUCUUGUCAGUACAUACAUUAUAUAUUUUUGGGAUUGAUGCAUUUUUAUCAGAAAAUGUAUUUAUAUCAUGGGUUCGCUGUAUAUUUUUAUAUAUGUUUUGCAAUUGGGGUUACCUGGUUCGAAAGGAGUGUAAAUUUCUUUCCAGUACACUUAUUUUGAACAGUUUGUAUUUCGAGGGACUAGUGUGUCCUAUUUUAAAUUAUAUGUAUGGAU
Molecule: long non-coding RNA, 2454 nt
Filed under: Olea europaea subsp. europaea
Lineage: Eukaryota; Viridiplantae; Streptophyta; Magnoliopsida; Lamiales; Oleaceae
Source: RNAcentral